CCUACGGGUGGCUGCAGUAAGGAAUAUUGGUCAAUGGACGAAAGUCUGAACCAGCCAUGCCGCGUGGAGGAUGAAGGUCCUCUGGAUUGUAAACUUCUUUUAUAUGGGACGAAAAAAGGCCUUUCUAGGCCGUCUGACGGUACCAUAUGAAUAAGCACCGGCUAACUCCGUGCCAGCAGCCGCGGUAAUACGGAGGGUGCCGGCUUUAUUCGGAUUAAAGGGUGCGUAAGGGUGUUGAUAAGUCAGGGGUGAAAUCUCCGAGCUUAACUUGGAAACUGCCAUUGAUACUAUUAAUCUUGAAUAUUGUGGAGGUUAGCGGAAUAUGUCAUGUAGCGGUGAAAUGCUUAGAUAUGACAUAGAACACCAAUUGCGAAGGCAGCUGGCUACACAUAUAUUGACACUGAGGCACGAAAGCGUGGGGAUCAAACAGGAUUAGAUACCCCUGUAGUC
RNAcentral lists this ribosomal RNA (450 nucleotides) under uncultured bacterium. Its description in RNAcentral is "partial 16S ribosomal RNA". It matches the Rfam family "Bacterial small subunit ribosomal RNA", at positions 338 to 795 of the family's 1533-position model. The record is from RNAcentral.